GCCUGGGUGGCUCAGUUGGUUGAGCGUCUGAUUUCGGCUCAGGUCAUGAUCUUGCAGUUCGUGAGUUCGAGUCCUGCAUUGGGCU
This 85-nucleotide transfer RNA is filed under the name Felis catus (domestic cat). It matches the Rfam family "tRNA". From Rfam's summary of the family: Transfer RNA (tRNA) molecules are approximately 80 nucleotides in length. Their secondary structure includes four short double-helical elements and three loops (D, anti-codon, and T loops). Further hydrogen bonds mediate the characteristic L-shaped molecular structure. tRNAs have two regions of fundamental functional importance: the anti-codon, which is responsible for specific mRNA codon recognition, and the 3' end, to which the tRNAs corresponding amino acid is attached (by aminoacyl-tRNA synthetases). tRNAs cope with the degeneracy of the genetic code in two manners: having more than one tRNA (with a specific anti-codon) for a particular amino acid; and 'wobble' base-pairing, i.e. permitting non-standard base-pairing at the 3rd anti-codon position. The record is from Rfam by way of RNAcentral. Lineage: Eukaryota; Metazoa; Chordata; Mammalia; Carnivora; Felidae.